This 173-nucleotide ribosomal RNA is filed under the name Corynebacterium striatum. RNAcentral describes it as "partial 16S ribosomal RNA". It matches the Rfam family "Bacterial small subunit ribosomal RNA", at positions 339 to 524 of the family's 1533-position model. The record is from RNAcentral. Lineage: Bacteria; Bacillati; Actinomycetota; Actinomycetes; Mycobacteriales; Corynebacteriaceae.
CUACGGGAGGCAGCAGUGGGGAAUAUUGCACAAUGGGCGGAAGCCUGAUGCAGCGACGCCGCGUGGGGGAUGAAGGCCUUCGGGUUGUAAACUCCUUUCGACAGGGACGAAGCGUAAGUGACGGUACCUGUAUAAGAAGCACCGGCUAACUACGUGCCAGCAGCCGCGGUAAU